This 69-nucleotide transfer RNA is filed under the name Ictidomys tridecemlineatus (thirteen-lined ground squirrel). RNAcentral's name for it is "Spermophilus tridecemlineatus (thirteen-lined ground squirrel) tRNA". It matches the Rfam family "tRNA". Rfam says of the family: Transfer RNA (tRNA) molecules are approximately 80 nucleotides in length. Lineage: Eukaryota; Metazoa; Chordata; Mammalia; Rodentia; Sciuridae. The record is from Rfam by way of RNAcentral.
GGGGCUGUAGCUCAGUGGCAGAGCACUUGCCUAGCAUGUAUGAGGCACUGGAUUCAAUCCUCAGCACCA